GAGUGGCGAACGGGUGAGUAACACGUGGGUAACCUGCCCAUCAGAAGGGGAUAACACUUGGAAACAGGUGCUAAUACCGUAUAACACUAUUUUCCGCAUGGAAGAAAGUUGAAAGGCGCUUUUGCGUCACUGAUGGAUGGACCCGCGGUGCAUUAGCUAGUUGGUGAGGUAACGGCUCACCAAGGCCACGAUGCAUAGCCGACCUGAGAGGGUGAUCGGCCACACUGGGACUGAGACACGGCCCAGACUCCUACGGGAGGCAGCAGUAGGGAAUCUUCGGCAAUGGACGAAAGUCUGACCGAGCAACGCCGCGUGAGUGAAGAAGGUUUUCGGAUCGUAAAACUCUGUUGUUAGAGAAGAACAAGGAUGAGAGUAGAACGUUCAUCCCUUGACGGUAUCUAACCAGAAAGCCACGGCUAACUACGUGCCAGCAGCCGCGGUAAUACGUAGGUGGCAAGCGUUGUCCGGAUUUAUUGGGCGUAAAGCGAGCGCAGGCGGUUUCUUAAGUCUGAUGUGAAGGCCCCCGGCUCAACCGGGGAGAGUCAUUGGAAACUGGGAGACUUGAGUGCAGAAGAGGAGAGUGGAAUUCCAUGUGUAGCGGUGAAAUGCGUAGAUAUAUGGAGGAACACCAGUGGCGAAGGCGGCUCUCUGGUCUGUAACUGACGCUGAGGCUCGAAAGCGUGGGGAGCGAACAGGAUUAGAUACCCUGGUAGUCCACGCCGUAAACGAUGAGUGCUAAGUGUUGGAGGGUUUCCGCCCUUCAGU
Molecule: ribosomal RNA, 765 nt
Filed under: uncultured bacterium
Lineage: Bacteria
Description: bacterial SSU rRNA
Rfam family: Bacterial small subunit ribosomal RNA
Source: RNAcentral